This 982-nucleotide long non-coding RNA is filed under the name Cricetulus griseus (Chinese hamster). Its description in RNAcentral is "lncRNA (ENSCGRG00015033504.1)". Lineage: Eukaryota; Metazoa; Chordata; Mammalia; Rodentia; Cricetidae. The record is from RNAcentral.
UGCAUCUCCAUUGAUUAGCUUUUGUCAAAGAUUUAUAACAGUAAUGAGAUAUAUGACUGGUGCAUAUCUCACACACACACACACACACACACACACACACAUUUUUGGUUGAAUUUUCCUGUGUGAACCACAUUGAAGUUAACUUUCUUUUCAAGCUCAUGUUGUCUCUUUCCUGAUACAUACAUUCCAGUGUAAUUGGCAGCCUGUCUUCCUAUCACAUGAAAAACAAACAAACAAAACACAAAAACAGAAAUUGUAUCUUUAAAUGGUGUUUUAUUCUGAGAAGAGGGGAUCAUCAUCCUGAAGAUCUGUUCUCCAGCUCUUCUUUCCUCAGAAGGCUAUACAGGGAGAAGACAGGAAAGCCGUCAGUCAUUUCAAAGAUCACUCCCUGCCCAACUCAGCUAAGCUCCCAGUCAACUAGAAAUGGACUUUGAGUUCUCAGCAGCAGAGCUAUUCAAAGACAGAUGGCUUAGGACUCAAAGGGGAUGGACACCUGCAGUGGUCAAAGCCAGGGGACAUCCAAAGGGUUAGAGAUGAGAACUAAGGGAUGGAGCCUGGCGUCAUGGCAUGGAGCUGGCUUGGGAAAUGGAAACAUGAUACCAGCUGGAAAUGUAAAUGUUGUAGUAGAAACAGCUUCGGAGAAACAGCAGUGACAAGAUAUGCAGCCCUUACCCUCUCACAGAACUUAUAACCUGGAUGAGCUGUGUCAGCGGUAAUACUAGGCAUAACUGCUGGUAUACUGCAUCAACAUUUAACGUGGUUGAAAGUACACAGUCAGUAAGACUAAAUGACCGCCCACAGAAGGGGAAAAGAUCUUCACCGAUCCCACGUCUGACCGAGGGCUGAUUUCCAAAAUAUACAAGGAAGCUAGCCAUCAAAUAUAUAUAAAGAAGCUAGCCAUCAAAACACCAAACAAUGAAAUUAAAAAGUGGGGUGCAGAACUAGAGAAUUCUCAACAGAGGAAUCUGAAAUGGCUGAGAGA